This 460-nucleotide ribosomal RNA is filed under the name uncultured bacterium. Its description in RNAcentral is "partial 16S ribosomal RNA". It matches the Rfam family "Bacterial small subunit ribosomal RNA", at positions 338 to 795 of the family's 1533-position model. The record is from RNAcentral.
CCUACGGGAGGCAGCAGUGAGGAAUAUUGGUCAAUGGACGAGAGUCUGAACCAGCCAAGUAGCGUGAAGGAUGACUGCCCUAUGGGUUGUAAACUUCUUUUAUAUGGGAAUAAAACGUUCCACGUGUGGGAUUUUGUAUGUACCAUAUGAAUAAGGAUCGGCUAACUCCGUGCCAGCAGCCGCGGUAAUACGGAGGAUCCGAGCGUUAUCCGGAUUUAUUGGGUUUAAAGGGAGCGUAGGUGGAUUGUUAAGCCAGUUGUGAAAGUUUGCGGCUCAACCGUAAAAUUGCAGUUGAAACUGGCAGUCUUGAGUACAGUAGAGGUGGGCGGAAUUCGUGGUGUAGCGGUGAAAUGCUUAGAUAUCACGAAGAACUCCGAUUGCGAAGGCAGUUCACUGGACUGCAACUGACACUGAGGCUCGAAAGUGUGGGUAUCAAACAGGAUUAGAUACCCCUGUAGUC